This 77-nucleotide transfer RNA is filed under the name Acidithiobacillus thiooxidans. RNAcentral describes it as "tRNA-Arg". It matches the Rfam family "tRNA". Rfam says of the family: Transfer RNA (tRNA) molecules are approximately 80 nucleotides in length. Their secondary structure includes four short double-helical elements and three loops (D, anti-codon, and T loops). Further hydrogen bonds mediate the characteristic L-shaped molecular structure. tRNAs have two regions of fundamental functional importance: the anti-codon, which is responsible for specific mRNA codon recognition, and the 3' end, to which the tRNAs corresponding amino acid is attached (by aminoacyl-tRNA synthetases). tRNAs cope with the degeneracy of the genetic code in two manners: having more than one tRNA (with a specific anti-codon) for a particular amino acid; and 'wobble' base-pairing, i.e. permitting non-standard base-pairing at the 3rd anti-codon position. The record is from RNAcentral. Lineage: Bacteria; Pseudomonadati; Pseudomonadota; Acidithiobacillia; Acidithiobacillales; Acidithiobacillaceae.
CUGCCUGUAGCUCAACCGAAUAGAGCAACGAUCUUCUAAGUCGUGAGUUGUGGGUUUGAAUCCCUCCAGGCGGGCCA